GUCCACGCCGUAAACGAUGAGUGCUAGAUAUUGGGGCGUAUGCCUCGGUGUCGCAGCUAACGCAUUAAGCACUCCGCCUGGGGAGUACGGUCGCAAGAUUAAAACUCAAAGGAAUUGACGGGGCCCGCACAAGCGGUGGAGCAUGUGGUUUAAUUCGAUGCUACGCGAAAACCUUACCAACCCUUGACAUCUGGGUCGCGGAUCGUAGAGAUACUUUCCUUCAGUUCGGCUGGACCCAAGACAGGUGUUGCAUGGCUGUCGU
This 262-nucleotide ribosomal RNA is filed under the name uncultured bacterium. RNAcentral describes it as "partial 16S ribosomal RNA". It matches the Rfam family "Bacterial small subunit ribosomal RNA", at positions 793 to 1055 of the family's 1533-position model. The record is from RNAcentral.